RNAcentral lists this ribosomal RNA (438 nucleotides) under uncultured bacterium. Its description in RNAcentral is "bacterial SSU rRNA". It matches the Rfam family "Bacterial small subunit ribosomal RNA", at positions 954 to 1392 of the family's 1533-position model. The record is from RNAcentral.
GCACAACGCGAAGAACCUUACCUAGGCUUGACAUGCAUCUUUAAGCACGUGAAAGCGUGUGACCCUUCGGGGAAUUUGCACAGGUGCUGCAUGGCCGUCGUCAGCUCGUGUCGUGAGAUGUUGGGUUAAGUCCCGCAACGAGCGCAACCCUUGUGACUAGUUGCCAGCACGUCAUGGUGGGAACUCUAGUCAGACUGCCCAGAUUAACUGGGAGGAAGGUGGGGACGACGUCAGGUCAGUAUGGCCCUUACGCCUAGGGCUGCACACGUACUACAAUGCCCAGCACAAUGAGAACCGAGACCGCGAGGUGGAGGAAAUCUAAAAAACUGGGCCCAGUUCGGAUUGGAGGCUGCAACUCGCCUCCAUGAAGUUGGAAUCGCUAGUAAUGGCGCAUCAUCUACGGCGCCGUGAAUACGUUCCCGGGUCUUGUACACACCG